This 74-nucleotide transfer RNA is filed under the name Corynebacterium sp. HMSC056F09. RNAcentral's name for it is "tRNA-Lys". It matches the Rfam family "tRNA". Rfam says of the family: Transfer RNA (tRNA) molecules are approximately 80 nucleotides in length. Their secondary structure includes four short double-helical elements and three loops (D, anti-codon, and T loops). Lineage: Bacteria; Bacillati; Actinomycetota; Actinomycetes; Mycobacteriales; Corynebacteriaceae. The record is from RNAcentral.
GAGGCUAUAGCUCAGUCGGUUUGGGUCGCGGACUUUUAAUCCGCUGGUCCCGGGUUUGAGCCCCGGUGGCCCCC